AGUGUCAUCAAUGGGAUCAAUGGGAUCAAUGGAUCAGUGGGAUCAAUGGGAUCACUGGGAUCAGUGGGAUCAAUGGGAUCAAUGGGAUCAGUGGGAUCAAUAGGAUCAAUGGGAUCAAUGGGAUCAAUGGGAUCAGUGGGAUCAAUGGGAUCAGUGGGAUCAAUGGGAUCAGUGGGGUACAGCGUCAUCAAUGGGAUCAAUGGGAUCAAUGGGGUACAUGGGAUCAAUGGGAUCAAUGGGAUCAAUGGGAUCAAUGGGAUCAAUGGGGAUCAAUGGGAUCAAUGGGAUCAAUGGGAUCAGUGGGGCA
Long non-coding RNA from Tympanuchus pallidicinctus (lesser prairie-chicken), 307 nucleotides. RefSeq lists it as uncharacterized. Lineage: Eukaryota; Metazoa; Chordata; Aves; Galliformes; Phasianidae. The record is from RefSeq and is a predicted model, not a curated record. The transcript has 4 exons.